GACGAACGCUGGCGGCGUGCUUAACACAUGCAAGUCGAACGGAAAGGCCCUGCUUUUGUGGGGUGCUCGAGUGGCGAACGGGUGAGUAACACGUGAGUAACCUGCCCUUGACUUUGGGAUAACUUCAGGAAACUGGGGCUAAUACCGGAUAGGAGCUCCCGCUGCGUGGUGGGGGUUGGAAAGUUUCGGCGGUCGGGGAUGGACUGGCGGCUUAUCGGCUUGUUGGUGGGGUAGUGGCUUACCAAGGCUUUGACUGGUAGGCGGCCUGAGAGGGUGACCGGCCACCUUGGGACUAAGGUAGGGACCAGAGUCCUACAGGAGACAGCAGGGGGGAAUAUUGCACAAUGGGCGGAAGCCUGAUGCGGCAACGCCGCGUGCGGAAUGACGGCCUUCGGGUUGUAAACCGCUUUCGCCUGUGACGAAGCGUGAGUGACGGUAAUGGGUAAAGAAGCACCGGCUAACUACGUG
Molecule: ribosomal RNA, 468 nt
Filed under: uncultured bacterium
Lineage: Bacteria
Description: partial 16S ribosomal RNA
Rfam family: Bacterial small subunit ribosomal RNA
Source: RNAcentral